Molecule: long non-coding RNA, 574 nt
Filed under: Canis lupus familiaris (dog)
Lineage: Eukaryota; Metazoa; Chordata; Mammalia; Carnivora; Canidae
Description: lncRNA (ENSCAFG00000059133.1)
Source: RNAcentral
GGGAAGAAACUCGGGGCACAUUUGCAAAAGGACAGCUAGCUUGAAAAGCCGAGGCCAGAGCAGGCUGCUCACCAAGGCCGCUCCGCGCCCACCCCACCCCUGCUCGCCGCCUCUCGUAAAUCACUAGGGGCACAGUCCUUGCAUUGGUGACUUUUGAACAAGCCCCUCCUCGGCAACCAAAGUUCGUUCCGAGUAUGAGGGGGGAAAGAGGGGUGGGGGAGGGACAUUUGGAACGCAGGAGAAAUGCAGUCCGAUCGGAAUCGCCAGACAAGCACCAAAAACUCACCCAGCAAUUCCAAAGCCUUUUGAUCAAACCAGUCACAGUGUGAUGUCAUCUCCACGGAGGCUCUGCCCCAUACAAGUUUCAGGUUCCACUGGAGCUGCCAGCACAGAGGAAGGAAUUCAGUAAUGGGUGAGUCUCAGGGCAGAAGUGUGUAUGUUGUAGGUCUCCUUCCAGUACUUUAGUCCAAAGUAAAGAUCCUAAAGGGGUAUGGAGAUUUCAGAUUCAAAUUUAACUAGACCCAGAUUGGGUAUUAGGGCUUUCAGCCCAAGGCUUCAGUGUCUUCAAUUCUAG